RNAcentral lists this long non-coding RNA (2083 nucleotides) under Podarcis lilfordi (Lilford's wall lizard). The record is from RNAcentral. Lineage: Eukaryota; Metazoa; Chordata; Lepidosauria; Squamata; Lacertidae.
UGAGACUUCCGGGGUGGCGCCUCCGGAAAAUGGCGGAAUUCCCUUCGAACUGAAGGGAACCCGCUGCACGGAGGCUUGGGUCCUGCCGCUACGGCGCAGCGGGGACCCUUAAAAACCACAGGCGGAAGAAGCCUGUGGGCGUGGGACUCGGCGGGCACCGAGAGCGCUCUCUCCCUUGUACAGGAGCCCGGUAACGGGCUCCGGAGUGGGAGGUGCGUGGUGCUGUGAGUCGACUGCUUCCUCCGUGCAGCAAAGCCGCACUGCCGUUUCGGAGAGCGCUGCCAUUUCCUGGACAAUUUGGCAUCUAAAACAUCUAUCCGUGAGUACCUGAUCCUGGAAGAGCUGAACUACUUUUAAGAUUGGUGAAUAAAUAAAUAACAUUGGACUUGAACUUGAAAUUGAAUUUAAUUGGGACUCGGAACGGAAAGGUCUAAACAGGAAGUCGCCUUCCGUUCUUUUGUUACGUGAAGAAAGCAAAGACAAAUUAUACUAAAGCCUGAAAACUAAAUUCUGAGAGAACUAAAAUUCAACAUCUAAGAUUUCUGAACCCCCUUUGAUUGCAGGAGAAGAAGGGGGUUGUUUUGAUCUUUUCAACCCUGCGGAAGUGAGUUUAAAAUAAAGUAAUUUUCCACCGCCCUGAACCAGGAGCGGGCUGUCAGAACUGACGUUUUGAAGCUUAUCCAGCUCGACAGAUAGUUAAAAGAAGGGUAACAUUUUGAUUCUACUGUUGCCUCUUGAAUUUGAAAGGGGGAAUUUUGGAUAAAGUGUUUCUGGAAAAAGAAAGAUUGUUACUGUUGUUUUUCCCCCUCUUAAAAAAUAAAAAAAUAAAAAAAAAGGGUUUUCCAUCUAGUGGAACUGAGUGAAAUUGCAAUGCAGAGAGUUUAAAAGAGAAGGACCAUUCUCGUGGGAAAGAAUUUUUUUUGACCUUGAAGGACAAUGCUUGUACAAAGGCUUGAACAAGUGUUCCUGGAAGGUUUUGCAAAAUUAAGUGCCCAGCUGGACCAGAUGCGUCAGGAGUCGACCUUGAUGAUGACGGAAGUCACCAGAGCACAGCAGCAAACAAAUGAAAUUCAGUUAAAGUCUAUACAAGUAUAUGAACCUGCUGUAGCGACGGAGGCUUCAGAGAUGGAGGGACCUAUGGAUGGGCAAGAUCAGCCUUUGAACUUGAUAAAUGAACUUGGGACAAACCUGAUUCGGAAAGAUGAAAUGUGGUCAGAUUUGGAAAUGGGGGGAUGGAUUGACACCCCUCUAUAUGGUUAUUUGGACUUUCCGAGUCUAGGGAUGGGCCAUCAGAGGAUUGGAGUAGUCGAAGUCUCCAAGUUUUCUGGAAAUUGGAAGUGGUAUUAUCUGCUGUCUGGCUUGGGUAAUGGGUUUGGGAUGGACUUGCUGCAAAGAGUCAAAAGCAUCUUCUUGCUGGAGUAUCCACGACUGAAAGGGAAAUAUCAACAAGAGUGGCGAAAGGGGCAAGAAAGAGACUUGAGGGCCUCGGACACGAGACAACCAGGUUAAGGAGCCGGAUUAUUGAGGUUAAAAGGACUGACAAUCCCGGGACCAGGGGAGGGGAGGCUGGAAGUUGACUGGACUAAAUCUGACUUAUUAUUUUUUCUUUCUUAUUUUUUAAUAUUGGGAAUGUUUAUAAAUGUUUGAAGGAUGUUGAAUGAAAUUAUAUGACUUAAGUAAGGAUUGGUAAAUGAUUUGUAAAAAGGUAAUGAUGUAAGAAUUUGCUAAAUAUGGAAUAUAAGCUUUGAGUUUUAAAGUUUUUAUAUGACAAGAGGGAAAAUAGAACAAGGAAACGCAAUGAUAGAUUGUUAUGAAAAAACAGAAAGGAUUUGCUGUAAAAAUUAAACACUAAGAAACAAGAGAGGGGAGGAGGAGGAAGUCUAGAAAGGAAGUUAAUGGAGAUCGUAAAGGAUUUUAUAUUUCUGUUUUUCUGUUUUUCUUUUUUUCUUUUUUGCGGCUGGGUUUUUUCUUCUUUAUUAUUUCUGUAUUAUUUUUGUUUUUUUUGUAUUUUCAAACUUUUUUGGAAAUUUUUGUUGUUAUUUGUUACUUUUUGAAAAUUUAAUAAAUAUCAAUUAAAAAAAAA